This 496-nucleotide ribosomal RNA is filed under the name uncultured bacterium. RNAcentral's name for it is "partial 16S ribosomal RNA". It matches the Rfam family "Bacterial small subunit ribosomal RNA", at positions 29 to 507 of the family's 1533-position model. The record is from RNAcentral.
AUGAACGCUGGCGGCGUGCCUAAUACAUGCAAGUCGAGCGAACAGACGAGGAGCUUGCUCCUCUGACGUUAGCGGCGGACGGGUGAGUAACACGUGGAUAACCUACCUAUACGACUGGGAUAACUUCGGGAAACCGGAGCUAAUACCGGAUAAUAUAUUGAACCGCAUGGUUCAAUAGUGAAAGACGGUUUUGCUGUCACUUAUAGAUGGAUCCGCGCCGCAUUAGCUAGUUGGUGAGGUAACGGCUCACCAAGGCAACGAUGCGUAGCCGACCUGAGAGGGUGAUCGGCCACACGGGAACUGAGACGCGGUCCAGACUCCUACGGGAGGCAGCAGUAGGGAAUCUUCCGCAAUGGGCGAAAGCCUGACGGAACAACGCCGCGUGAGUGAUGAAGGUCUUCGGAUCGUAAAACUCUGUUAUUAGGGAAGAACAAAUGUGUAAGUAACUAUGCACGUCUUGACGGUACCUAAUCAGAAAGCCACGGCUAACUACGUG